Molecule: long non-coding RNA, 8563 nt
Filed under: Brassica napus (rape)
Lineage: Eukaryota; Viridiplantae; Streptophyta; Magnoliopsida; Brassicales; Brassicaceae
Description: long non-coding RNA (BNAP_LNC025194)
Source: RNAcentral
GGAGGCAAGUUCUUGAGAGAAAAAUGAGAUAUCCCUCAGGUUUUUAGGUUUAAAACUAUAUAUAAGACAUGCCAAACUCGAGCUGGUUUAGUGAAUUAAACCGGGUCAAACCGGAAUAAACCGGUCAACAUCUCCAAAUCUGUUCGUAGCGGCCAUCACGUCCCGCUACCAGUGGCCGCUAGCGAAUCCGCGUCUUCCCGAGCGGCGUCACGUCCCCGCUACCAAUGGCCGCUCCAGCACUCGCUCAUGAUGUGGCGACCUCAUUAACCCGCUUUGCCAAGCCGCUACGAACCUCCACGAGCUUGAGCUCCGAUUCGUUUUUCUUUGUCUCAAGACCCGAGCUUAACUUCUUCACAUCGCGACUCCAAUGACGUGAAGGCUCUCGGAGGUGGCUCAUGGUCUUGUCGUGCUCUGUUCUGGCGAGGCUCCUUCUCCAAAGACGAGAUCGUGCUCGGACCACCACGAACCCAUCACUAAGCCAUCGUCUUCUCCUCCGCCAUGGUCUGCAACUCGCGAUGCCGGCUCCAGAGCGACCAGCUUUCCUCACGGCUCAGCUCCGUCAUCGUCGCGGAUCGAAGUAAACCUCAUCGAAGAGCAACAAUGGCCAAUUCUUCCCUAUUUUCAAAACAGGUCCCUGAACUUCUGGUUCUUUACAAAUCGGCCCAAUACUUUGGAAUGUGCAGAAAUGACCUCACGAAUUGACCCAUAGACUUUUGAUUGUGCAAUCUAACCCAAGGGAAUAUUCUGAAACUGCAACCUUGGUCCCUGAACUUUGGAUAACUUCAUAUUUGACCCCAGACUUCCAUAGUGUGCAGCUUAGCCCUUGAAUUUCGCCCCAAACUUCCAAAUAAGCAUUCCAACCCCUAUGAUAUGCAAAUGAGUAUGCAAAUACAACACAAAGACCUAAAUGCAACCUAAAAUGAUCAUAAUAAGCUAAAAUAUGAAUCUAAAACUUAUAAAAAUCAUGAGAUAUCAUUAUCAUUAUGCUUGAAAGCAUGUUUUCAAUCAACUCGUGCUGCUGCUUACUGUUCACAUUGUUCAUCUACCAAGUAAACGACAUAUUUGUAAGUAGGCGUAGGAGCUGUUACUGUCACUAGAGUUAUAUGUUUUGUAUCCUUCUUUCUCGUCGUUACUGCAUCUACACAUUCAAACGACGUAAGGAACCCCUAUCGUCGUUAAACAAUAGUUAAAGCGGCUAUACACACGCAAACUACAUCCGGCAAGUUUCUGGCCUAGAGAGGUAGGUAGCUCAAAAAAAAUGAAAUCAAAUCAGAGAAGUAGUAAUAAUGUAAGCAUAAAUCAUGUUACAUGCAAGAAAAUCUGCCUCUUUGAUGCUGCAUCUAGAGAAGUAAGGCUACCGUCUAUCUUCCAUCUGUCUCCUCUGACUGGUGAUGAUCAAGCAGCAUUAGAAUAUUUGUUCAACUUGGUGCUUUUGAACAUGUUAUUUGGCAUCUCAGUCACACUCCUUAGUUCUGGAACUAAAUUUUAUCUACUGGUUUAUCAAAAUGCGAACAUACACUGUUGAUACCUCGCCAUACAGACAAUACACACAACUGCCAAAUCAAGCACCUGAAUUUUAAAAAAAAAAAAUCCUCUCUUUCAGUGUGUACCCAACACGACAAGCCAUCGAGAAGACAUGUUCAUUUUUUUUUUUUUUGCCAAAAUGUGAAUUUCAUAUUAAUGUGAGAAGAGUUUGUAAAUUUUACAAAAGUUUUAAUACUUGGAUAAGUCAGCUUCGGCAAAAAAUAAAACAAAGCUAAGUUAUCAAAAGAUGAGAUCCCGGUAGGUUACUCACGACGUAGCCAUUGCUGCAUAAGAGACAUGAACUCUUUCCUUUUUAUUUUUCCAAGGAUGGUGUCUCUUAUGAAGCGAUCAAUGAUUCUGAAUAUCCCUUGUGGCGUCCGAGCUUCACCUUCGUGCAAGCGUUUGUUUCGUUCUGUCCAUACGCUCGAUAUCGUCGCUUGGGCAACAAGUCGUUUGAGAGUUCUGCUUGUGACUUUGUCGCGCAUGGAGAGCCAGUCUGAAAAAGCUGUCCAUGUAUGAAAACCAAAAGGAUUAUAUCCCAGUCUCUGCAAGACCAAUUCCCAGACUGAUUCACUAACUUCACAACGCAGCAGGAGAUGAUCUCUGCUUUCUUCAUAAACUGCGCAGAGACAGCAUAACGGAGAUACGUUCAUCCCCCAGCUAGACAAACGAGAUCUGGUUGGAAGUCGAUCUUGGUGAGCAAUCCAAAUUGUGAAAGCAUGCUUAGGAACAUGCCCCUUAAACCAGAUGUUUUGUGUCCAAUUCCGAGUGGGUCCCCUGUUUCUAACUGCGUUCCACGUUUUGCUAGAAGAGAAGUUCGUGAGCUCUUCGCUGUCAACUUCCCAAGACAUGUUCAUUUUAAGAUGACUGGAAGAAGAAUAUUGUACAGGGGUUUCGAAGUAUAAGCUAUUACUUCUCUCGCUCCCCUUUCAAAUUUGUAUAUCGUUAUGCGUUUGUCUUAGGGCUAUGGAGUAUAUGGUUCAGUAUUAUAUGAUUUUCUUUAGAGGAAUAGGUGAGUUCCUAGCUUGAUCCUCUUUGUUCAGUUUGUGUGAUGUUAUGCCUAUGCUUGAACAUGUGUUGCACCUUCUGAAUUUGUUCAGUGUCCAUAUGACUGUCGUGGGCUAUGGCAUGAACUUUUCAGAAAAGUACCGCAACCUAUCUUACAUUGGCGUAUUGAAGCCUCAAUAUUCAUGUUACUAUAUAACAUGAAGUGAAGUCAGCUCAUUCUAUUGUUCGAAAAGGUAAAGCUAUACUACACUUCGUAGAUGAUUCUGAUGCAAAAGCUAAUGCAUUGUGACAUGUUUCUUUAGAACUUCACACAAUACAUUAUAUUCAAAGAAAUCAUCACAAACAAACAAAUUGUGCCCUCGGACUAUAAGGUUUAUCCAUUCUUAAGGAACUAUAGUCUUUCUUUCUUUUGCUACUUCCAGGUGGGGAAGAGAGUUCCGCUUAUGUUCCCCACUCUGCCACUCACCAGCAUGCAUGCUCGGGUCUCCAUUGUAUGUCUCACAAACAUCACCAUUGUUCAUUACCAUCAUGCUCAUGUCAUUUUGGAGAUUUAUAACAUGUGCAUGAUCUCCGAGGCCUCCCGUGCAGUCUAAAGGCAUCUCCAAUAGAACUCUAUUUUCUCCUCUAUAAUUUACAUUAAAAUAGAGUUAUUCUAUUUUGAUGUAAAUUAUAGAGAAAAAAUAGAGUCUCAUUGGAGAUGGUCUAGCUACGAAGCUACCUCUUAGGUUGAUGCUUCAUCCCACGGAAAUAUUUGGCGAAUGCAGUGUUAGCGCUUUCUCCACGUGGCAGAAUUCUUCUUCACCGUCUCCUUAUUCAAAACAUAGUCUCACCAAAGCAUCAUUCAGUUCUGAGUUCACUCAUUUUCUGGAUUAUUGAUGCUUCAUCCCACGAGAAUAUUUGGCAUCGUCACAUAAUACUUUUUAUAAUUAAAACAUUGAUUAAUGUUUAGAAAUAUUUGUAAGACUUUAUAAAUUAUUGACUUACUAAAUUAAUGGUUUACUAAAAUAAUAAAUAUUGUAAUUUUAACAUUUCUAAUUUAUAUAAUUUUACGUAUUUAUAUUUUAUGUGGAGUUCAUUAAUCAAUCUAAACUAUUAAAACAAAAGUACAUGUAGCAUUUGACCCUAAAUUUUUCUCAAUAAUUUCCAGCCUGUGUCAUUCAAUCUUAGGGGCUGUUAUUGGUUUAUAUAUUUUGAUUGAUUUAGAAAUCCAUAUAGUAUUUAUAAAUCCAAGUAAAAUAUGCAAAUCCGGAGGUUUUCCCUCGGAUUUGAGUCUUUGUAUUUUUAACUAAAAAAUCCAAACAAAUCCAUUCAAAUCCAUUAUAAAAUCAAAUAUAUUAGUAAAUCCGUACAAUUGAAUAACACUUGAUUUAAUAUAGAAUCUAUGAAUCAUUAAACUAAUAACACAUGAUUUUAAUACAGAUUUUAAAAUCACAGAACCAAUAACACUAGAUUUUGUUCGGAUAGUCAAAUCCAUUAAAAUACAACAACCAAUAACCCACACUUAACAGUUUUAACAACAAAUUAAAUCACUGAAGCUUUAUUAGUGGAUCUAGGCAAGUUGAUGAUGUACAAUAAUUAUCUUGGCCUAAAAAUGAUUAUAUCAUCAUCUUAUAUUAAAACAGAAGUAACAGAAGUCACAACUUUGAUUCAUGUGUGAUUUUUUAAAAAUUAGACCUAAUGAAUCUAUUCCUAAAAAGUUAUGUUACAUUUCAUUUUUAAUCUUAUCAUUUAAAUUUUGAACCUACUAGAAAUUUUUAUUGGGCUAUCAAUAAUUGGAUUUAAAUAAGAUAUGAUCUAUUGGAUUUAUAUAUAUUAUAAAUUAAAUAGAUAUAAUUUAAUGUUGUAAUACUAUACCUCCAUAUGUUAAAUAUUUAAAUAUUUGUCGAUGUUAACUUUUAAAAUUAUAAAGAUUUUUUUUUAAAUAACAAAAAUCAUAUUAUCUAACAAUGAUUAAUCUUUACUACCUUAAACCAAUGAAAACAAAUUUUAAACAAUAUAUUUUAUUUUAAAAAUUAAACAAAAACUAAAUGUUUAAUUAUUUACUCGAUAAUAUAAAUCUAUGAAGCGAAAAUUUUAAUUUUUAAAAAACUUUCUAAAAUUUUGAAAUGUUACAAUAUCUUUGAAUAUGACAAUAAAACAAUAUUUUACUAAUCUUUACAUUUAUAGUUAUGAUUUUAAUAAUAAAAUAAUAAUCCGAAAAUAUAUAUAUAGAAGAAGAUACAAAUACAUGUGAAAGUUUAAAACAAUCUAUUCAAUGAAAAAUAUACCGUAAACUUAUUAUGUUUUAAAAAUUGAUAGGCACAUAUAUAUUAUAAUAUAUACCAAUUUAGAAUUGAAAACAAAAUAUUUAUAUAAAAAUAAAUGAAAACAAAAAUUCGCGCGGUUGCGCGGAUCGAGAUCUAGUAAUAAUUUAAAACUAAUUUAUAGUAUUCUAACUUUAAUCAAAAGAGUUGUAAAAAUCAUGCGAUGUAUGUUCAACUUUUCUACUGCUUGGCUUAAAUUUAUAAUUUUAUAAACGACAAAUAUGUUUUAAUUUUCUGAUACUAUGUAACUAAAAUGAUUCAUCUUUUUGUGAGGAAAUUCAGUUAAUACUUUUUAAUUAACGCAUAAUAUACCUUAAAUUCAAACGUUGUUCCAUCUAAUUAAGGUCUUGAUUGGCAGAGCUGAUGAUGAAACAUUAGCAAAAUGCUAUAGAAACAAUAUGUUGCAGAGGUGAUCUUUGAUCCUGUUGCUGGAGAGGAGGGAUUACAAAAAAAUUCAAAGUCUUGUUUUGAGUGAUAGAGCUCCUGAAGGAGAAGAGGAGGAUGUGAUGGAAAUGGAUGAGUUUCAAGCAGCAUUGCUGGAACAUGGUUUAGAUGCGCAGGCGAUAGAUGCUCUUCCGGCAGUCUCUGAGGAGGAAUUAGAGGAAAUGAUUGCGGGCUACGAAGAGGAUGAUCAACCUCAGGAGGCAGGGGAACAGGCUAAUGGUGCAGAGGAGAAGAACAAGGAAGCAACGGAGCAGGCACAGAAACAGGGGACUCGUAAAAGAUUGUUUAAACCAUCAAUCAAUGUCGCAGGAAGCACAAAGAUGAGGAAUGCAGCUGCGCUUGUCUCCCCUCGCAAACGUGCUGCAAGUAGGACGGGGACUCGUAAGGGGGAUGCAAACAAGCAAUUGGAGAGUAAGGGAUCGUCAAGCCUGAACUCUGGAAAUCUGAAGAAUUAAUUUAUGGAUCAAGUCUUACUAGUUUCUAGCAAGCAGGGUUUGGGGGUUUUACUUUUCAAGGUUUUUUUUAUUGUUGUUUUGGUGUUGGACAAGAUCUCUAUGUAAGAUCAUGCACUGGAAUAAAAUUUGCUAUUUGGAUUAUUGGUGUUGGGUUUGUUUUGAUCAGCUAAGUAUAAAUUUUGCAUCUGGAUGUUUGGGUCCUCUCCGUAAGACGUGGGCACAGGGUUUGGCUUCGUUAAUGGGGCUGUUAUCUAUUCGACUGAAGGUGAUAUCUCGAUGGCUCCUACACUGCAGAAACAUGGGUCGGGUUUUGUGGUUUGAGGUUUCAUUUGGUUUCCGGAGAAGUGCAUCUUGGAUCACAAUAUGGAUUCUCUGGUUCUUACAUUGCAGAAUCAGAGUUGGGCAACUCACGGUUCAUAAGUUGGCUACUUGUUGGACUGUGUGGGUAAUAGUAAUCAAUAAUGUCGUUUUGGUCCUUUUGUUUAUUAUUCAGUGGGAUCAUUAUGAGGUUGUAGUAACAUAUUAUCAGUAUUUGUUCUCAACGGUUUUGUUUUGUGCUUGGUAUUGGUUUUAUAUGGAGCGGGAAUUACUUUAUACUAUAGCCAUGCGAGUUCUUUUCAUUCUACGGCCACUGGUGCUUGGCUUCUAUACGUUGUUCUUACAGGAAGUGUUGAUACUUGCAAGAAUCAAGAGUUCCAAGAGACGCUUGGAUAUUAUGAAACUGGUGUUGGCUAGUGACUACUUUAAUAUUUCAUUUUUUCGCGGGAUAUAUAAGAGUUUUUAUUGGAGGUUUAAAGGAAAAUUAUUAUGGGUUAGGGAUAAGGUAAUGUUAAUAAGCUUGAAGAUAUUGAGAAGAGAAUUUUUACUUUGGGGGAUGGAGAAUUCAGGAUAUCAUUACACCCAAUCUCGACAGCUCAAAGGAGUUUUUAUAUAUUUUUUCAAUGAGAACACUAAGUUGGAAUUACCGAGGAAUGGAAAGUAAGUGGACGAUAAGUUAUUUAACAGAGAUAUGGCAUAAACAUAAGCCGGAUUUUUUAUUUUUAUCGGAGACAAAGCAAGAAUUUGAGUUUGUUCAGAAAUUUCAAGGUCAUUUCGGAUUCGAUAAUUUGGUCAUAGUAGAUCCGGUGGGACGAAGUGGUGGAUUAGCGCUUUAUUACAAUAAUGAGUAUCAGGUUAAUGUGUUAUAUUCAAGUAAUCGAAUGAUAGAUGUGGAAUCAGUAGCUCUUGGGAAAACGGUAUAUAUGACGUUUGUGUAUGCAGACCCAGUUCAAGAUUUACGAGAACAAGUGUGGGAACGUUUAACUAGAUAUGGAAUUUCGCGAUCAGAGCCUUGGUUUAUUAUUGGUGAUUUAAAUGAGAUCACAGGAAAUCAUGAAAAAGAAGGUGGAGGGUUGCGAAGUGCGAAUUCAUUUGUUCCUUUUAAUAAUAUGAUAAGGAAUUGUGGUCUACUGGAAUUCCCAGUCAAAGGAAAUAAGUUGUCAUGGCAAGGAAGGAGGGGUAAGGGCAAANNNNNNNNNNNNNNNNNNNNNNNNNNNNNNNNNNNNNNNNNNNNNNNNNNNNNNNNNNNNNNNNNNNNNNNNNNNNNNNNNNNNNNNNNNNNNNNNNNNNNNNNNNNNNNNNNNNNNNNNNNNNNNNNNNNNNNNNNNNNNNNNNNNNNNNNNNNNNNNNNNNNNNNNNNNNNNNNNNNNNNNNNNNNNNNNNNNNNNNNNNNNNNNNNNNNNNNNNNNNNNNNNNNNNNNNNNNNNNNNNNNNNNNNNNNNNNNNNNNNNNNNNNNNNNNNNNNNNNNNNNNNNNNNNNNNNNNNNNNNNNNNNNNNNNNNNNNNNNNNNNNNNNNNNNNNNNAAUAACUAUCUAGCAAUUUUAACAUCAAGUGUCCUUGGCUAAUCUCACUAGAGCUUAGUUGAGUUGAUUCAAACACUUCAUCUAAUCAUGUCUGAUGAGAAGUGUUUAGAAAUCAGGUUUAGAGUGAUCAAGACUAAACAAGCAUUAAAAAUACUCAACAAGCAAGUUCAUACAAGGAUCUACAAUAAAACACCCUAAAUCUACACUUAAUCACCCUAAUCUACCUUAACCAUGAAUCCAAGGAGUGUCUACUCUCUAAUCUCCAUGAGAAACCUCAAACCCAUGAUGAAUUCAAGGCUCACCAUGUUUAUGAAAAGGAGAAACAAGAUAUAGAAUUAAAAACUUUCUUAGAUUGUGAUAUAAAAAUCCAAGCUUUUUUACAAAGGGAGGCAAGUUCUUGAGAGAAAAAUGAGAUAUCCCUCAGGUUUUUAGGUUUAAAACUAUAUAUAAGACAUGCCAAACUCGAGCUGGUUUAGUGAAUUAAACCGGGUCAAACCGGAAUAAACCGGUCAACAUCUCCAAAUCUGUUCGUAGCGGCCAUCACGUCCCGCUACCAGUGGCCGCUAGCGAAUCCGCGUCUUCCCGAGCGGCGUCACGUCCCCGCUACCAAUGGCCGCUCCAGCACUCGCUCAUGAUGUGGCGACCUCAUUAACCCGCUUUGCCAAGCCGCUACGAACCUCCACGAGCUUGAGCUCCGAUUCGUUUUUCUUUGUCUCAAGACCCGAGCUUAACUUCUUCACAUCGCGACUCCAAUGACGUGAAGGCUCUCGGAGGUGGCUCAUGGUCUUGUCGUGCUCUGUUCUGGCGAGGCUCCUUCUCCAAAGACGAGAUCGUGCUCGGACCACCACGAACCCAUCACUAAGCCAUCGUCUUCUCCUCCGCCAUGGUCUGCAACUCGCGAUGCCGGCUCCAGAGCGACCAGCUUUCCUCACGGCUCAGCUCCGUCAUCGUCGCGGAUCGAAGUAAACCUCAUCGAAGAGCAACAAU